This 432-nucleotide ribosomal RNA is filed under the name uncultured bacterium. RNAcentral's name for it is "partial 16S ribosomal RNA". It matches the Rfam family "Bacterial small subunit ribosomal RNA", at positions 29 to 507 of the family's 1533-position model. The record is from RNAcentral.
AACGAACGCUGGCGGCAUGCCUAACACAUGCAAGUCGAACGAGACCUUCGGGUCUAGUGGCGCACGGGUGCGUAACGCGUGGGAACCUGCCCUUAGGUUCGGAAUAACUCCCCGAAAGGGGUGCUAAUACCGGAUAAUGUCUCGGACCAAAGAUUUAUCGCCUUUGGAUGGGCCCGCGUUGGAUUAGCUAGUUGGUAGGGUAAAAGCCUACCAAGGCGACGAUCCAUAGCUGGUCUGAGAGGAUGAUCAGCCACACUGGGACUGAGACACGGCCCAGACUCCUACGGGAGGCAGCAGUGGGGAAUAUUGGACAAUGGGCGAAAGCCUGAUCCAGCAAUGCCGCGUGAGUGAUGAAGGCCUUAGGGUUGUAAAGCUCUUUUACCCGGGAUGAUAAUGACAGUACCGGGAGAAUAAGCUCCGGCUAACUCCGUG